GACGAACGCUGGCGGCGUGCUUAACACAUGCAAGUCGAACGGUAAGGCCCUUCGGGGUACACGAGUGGCGAACGGGUGAGUAACACGGGGGUGAUCUGCCCUGCACUUCGGGAUAAGCCUGGGAAACUGGGUCUAAUACCGGAUAGGACCACUGCCUGCAUGGGUGGUGGUGGAAAGCUUUUGCGGUGUGGGAUGGGCCCGCGGCCUAUCAGCUUGUUGGUGGGGUGAUGGCCUACCAAGGCGACAACGGGUAGCCGGCCUGAGAGGGUGACCGGCCACACUGGGACUGAGAUACGGCCCAGACUCCUACGGGAGGCAGCAGUGGGGAAUAUUGCACAAUGGGCGCAAGCCUGAUGCAGCGACGCCGCGUGAGGGAUGACGGCCUUCGGGUUGUAAACCUCUUUCAGCACCGACGAAGCGCAAGUGACGGUAGGUGCAGAAGAAGGACCGGCCAACUACGUGCCAGCCGCCGCCGUAA
This 478-nucleotide ribosomal RNA is filed under the name uncultured bacterium. Its description in RNAcentral is "partial 16S ribosomal RNA". It matches the Rfam family "Bacterial small subunit ribosomal RNA", at positions 28 to 523 of the family's 1533-position model. The record is from RNAcentral.